UUUGAUGGCCUCCUCUUUCUCUCUUUAACAAAUCCCAUCCGCCCAGUUCAAACACCAUUUUUCUCUGUAGAAAAACCAGUCACCACCAAUUCAUCUUUCUACUCCGGUAUAACUACGACCACCAUCGUUGCCACAUUUGUCAUCCAUCCGACAUCGCAACCCACAAUCGUUAUUGUUGCCUAUCCAAGACUGAGAAUUCCAAACUACCACUACUCACUCUUUUUAUCCCUUUCUGUCUUUUGUCUUUUCUGGUCUACCACCAUAAACAACCGUCACUACCUCCUGAAACCCUAUAUCUAUACUAUCAGCCGUAUUUUAUCUUCACCACUGUUUAUCUCCCUAUUUCUAUGGCUGUCUACAACCAUUCUACGAGAAGUGUUUUUCACACCAUCGUUGCUACAAAUCUGUGUUAGUGUAUGUAAAGGAUAUGUGAAUACGUAUAUAGUUUUUUAGAUAUGUAUCUUCAAAUGAAGGUCCAGGUCACACAUACUUAUGAUGUGUCUCAUAUGUGUACUCAUUGUUUUGAAGAUUUUGAUUUUCAAAUGUUUAUUUUAACUUAGAUUAGCUAUAUUUUGUUUUACAAAUCUGGAAAUGUUUAUAGUGCCGCCAACAGCGUUUUUAUAGUUUUGUAUACUUAAUGUGUUUUUUCGGAAGGAAACAAAUAUUGUGGUGUG
This is a non-coding RNA of Lactuca sativa (garden lettuce), 674 nucleotides long. NCBI's taxonomy places the organism in Eukaryota, Viridiplantae, Streptophyta, Magnoliopsida, Asterales, Asteraceae. The record is from RefSeq and is a predicted model, not a curated record.